RNAcentral lists this ribosomal RNA (300 nucleotides) under uncultured Bacillus sp. RNAcentral's name for it is "bacterial SSU rRNA". It matches the Rfam family "Bacterial small subunit ribosomal RNA", at positions 496 to 795 of the family's 1533-position model. The record is from RNAcentral. Lineage: Bacteria; Bacillati; Bacillota; Bacilli; Caryophanales; Bacillaceae.
GCUAACGCCGUGCCAGGAGGGGCGGGAAGACGGGGGGGGGUAGGGUUGUUCGGAAUGACAGGGCGUAAAGCGCGCGUAGGCGGUUCUUUAAGUCAGAGGUGAAAGCCCGGUGCUCAACAUCGGAAUAGCCUUUGAGACUGGGGGACUAGAAGCCGGGAGAGGUGAGUGGAAUUCCGAGUGUAGAGGUGAAAUUCGUAGAUAUUCGGAAGAACACCAGUGGCGAAGGCGGCUCACUGGACCGGCAUUGACGCUGAGGUGCGAAAGCGUGGGGAGCAAACAGGAUUAGAUACCCGAGUAGUC